GAAUUAAAGAUUUGGAAAAUAAAAAGACCGCAAUCAUAAUAUAGCAUGAUAUAGCAAAAAUAUAGCAAUUUGCUAUAUCAUGAUGUAGCAAAAUUGCUAUAAUCAACCUAAGUAACUGCCUAGGAUCACUAUUGAAAAUUGCUGGUACAUAGGAUAGCUUUUAAAACAAAGUAGCAUCUGAAUCAACUUUGGGAAGCAGGUUAUAACAUGUCUUGAGACUGAUGGAAAUGAUCCAGUAGCAAGAAGUAAAUUGGCGGUAUAGGAAUGAAGCCUUUGAAUAAGUAAAAACGAUCAAAUGACAAGGGGAAGAGCAAAAGACAAAGCUAUAGAAACAUGCGGGCAAGGACAAACCAGGUUAGGGAGAGCAGGAAGUGAUCUGGAAUAUUGCCAUCAGGAUUGAGUCUAGGAGCCACCAGAAAGAUGUACUUGUCUGUCUUCAACAGGGGAUCAUAUGCUGCUGCAGGAGUUGAGGACAAAUAUUAGAAUAGAGGAGACGCCUUGGUCAAUUAAUUAUCUAGACAUCCAUAAUCAUCAUGAGAACCUACCUAGAACUUCUGAGGAUAGAAUCCAUUGAAAACAGCAAGGACCAAAGUCUUGGAU
Molecule: long non-coding RNA, 600 nt
Filed under: Homo sapiens (human)
Lineage: Eukaryota; Metazoa; Chordata; Mammalia; Primates; Hominidae
Description: HSALNT0250246
Source: RNAcentral